UACGGAGGGUGCGAGCGUUGUCCGGAAUCACUGGGCGUAAAGGGCGCGUAGGCGGCCCGCGCAAGCGUGCGGUGAAAGCCCGGGGCUCAACCCCGGGUCGGCCGUGCGGACUGCGGGGCUCGAGCACUGUAGGGGCAGAUGGAAUUCCGGGUGUAGCGGUGGAAUGCGUAGAGAUCCGGAAGAACACCGGUGGCGAAGGCGGUCUGCUGGGCAGUAGCUGACGCUGAGGCGCGACAGCGUGGGGAGCAAACAGG
Molecule: ribosomal RNA, 254 nt
Filed under: uncultured bacterium
Lineage: Bacteria
Also listed under: 1 other name
Description: partial 16S ribosomal RNA
Rfam family: Bacterial small subunit ribosomal RNA
Source: RNAcentral